This 908-nucleotide ribosomal RNA is filed under the name uncultured Actinomycetes bacterium. RNAcentral describes it as "bacterial SSU rRNA". It matches the Rfam family "Bacterial small subunit ribosomal RNA", at positions 590 to 1504 of the family's 1533-position model. The record is from RNAcentral. Lineage: Bacteria; Bacillati; Actinomycetota; Actinomycetes.
GACCGUGAAAACCUGGGGCUCAACCCAGGCCUGCGGUCGAUACGGGCAGGCUAGAGUUCGGUAGGGGAGACUGGAAUUCCUGGUGUAGCGGUGAAUGCGCAGAUAUCAGGAGGAACACCGGUGGCGAAGGCGGGUCUCUGGGCUGAUACUGACGCUGAGGAGCGAAAGCGUGGGGAGCGAACAGGAUUAGAUACCCUGGUAGUCCACGCUGUAAACGUUGGGCGCUAGGUGUGGGGGGCCUCUCCGGUUCCCUGUGCCGCAGCUAACGCAUUAAGCGCCCCGCCUGGGGAGUACGGCCGCAAGGCUAAAACUCAAAGGAAUUGACGGGGGCCCGCACAAGCGGCGGAGCAUGCGGAUUAAUUCGAUGCAACGCGAAGAACCUUACCUGGGCUUGACAUGUCGGAAGUAGAAUCCCGAAAGGGUGACCAACUGUAAAGUCAGUAGCCGACACAGAUGCUGCAUGGCUGUCGUCAGCUCGUGUCGUGAGGUGUUGGGUUAAGUCCCACAACGAGCGCAACCCUCGUCGUCAGUUGGAUCUUUCUGCCGAGACUGCUGCGCAGAACGCAGAGGAAGGUGGGGAUGACGUCAAGUCAGCACGGCUCUUACGCCCAGGGCUACACACACGCUACAAUGGUCGGUACAAAGGGUUGCCAAGGAGCGAUCCGGAGCUAAUCCCAUCAAAGCCGGCCUCAGUUGGAAUUGGAGGCUGAAAUUCGCCUCCAUGAACGCGGAGUUGCUAGUAACCGCAGGUCAGCACACUGCGGUGAAUACGUUCCCGGGCCUUGUACACACCGCCCGUCAAGUCAUGAAAGCCGGCAACACCUAAAGUCGAUGGGCCAACCCCUUGGGGAGGUAGUCGCCUAGGGUGGGGCUGGUGAUUGGGACUAAGUCGUAACAAGGUAGCCGUA